This 268-nucleotide ribosomal RNA is filed under the name uncultured bacterium. RNAcentral's name for it is "partial 16S ribosomal RNA". It matches the Rfam family "Bacterial small subunit ribosomal RNA", at positions 524 to 792 of the family's 1533-position model. The record is from RNAcentral.
UACGUAGGGUGCAAGCGUUAAUCGGAAUUACUGGGCGUAAAGCGUGCGCAGGCGGUUUGUAAGUUUGUCGUGAAAUCCCCGGGCUCAACCUGGGAAUGGCGAUGAAGACUGCAAGGCUAGAAUCUGGCAGAGGGGGGUAGAAUUCCACGUGUAGCAGUGAAAUGCGUAGAGAUGUGGAGGAACACCGAUGGCGAAGGCAGCCCCCUGGGUCAAGAUUGACGCUCAUGCACGAAAGCGUGGGGAGCAAACAGGAUUACGAAACCGGGUA